This is a long non-coding RNA of Cuculus canorus (common cuckoo), 3771 nucleotides long. RefSeq lists it as uncharacterized. The transcript has 5 exons. The record is from RefSeq and is a predicted model, not a curated record. NCBI's taxonomy places the organism in Eukaryota, Metazoa, Chordata, Aves, Cuculiformes, Cuculidae.
CACAGUAUAAGCAGACUGGAACUAUAAUUCAUAGGCACACAACUUUUUCUCUUCUACUGUCUUAUUUAUGGGCAAGUAUUUUCUACAAGAACUUCUUUUUAUUUUCAUUGAGUAACAGCAGUCUUCUUUUGUAAAGCAACUGGUGACAUGAAACACCUGCAGGUUAAGGCACAUCCGAGUUGUGUUUCCCCUGCAUGUUUCAAUGUAAAGACAGUCCUCUGGACUCUCCUUCCUUAGUUUGGACUUUUCCUGGUAUCCUUGAAUUUUAAUACAUAUUUAUACUAUUUUAUGUUAUAUAUGUACCCACAGCCAGGGAAUUUUACCCUCUUUUUCUAGACUGCAGCAGGACCUGGACACAUUUGCUACCGAGUGGUGUUUGCUCUGAAGGACAGAUGGCAGCAGUCCUUUUUCCUCCACCUUGCGAAGAGUUUAGAUACAAUGCAGAAUGCUUCACAAGUGGUAAAGGGACUGACCAUAGCAGCUAGAGAGCAACAUAGUUUGUAAUGAUGUACAGCUACUUUAUAGGGCUCUGGAAACUGCAAACCUGGGCCUUUUUUAGGUAGCUAGUGUCCUUCAAUCAACUUCUGCUGGACUGAUACAUAUGGAAAGUAAAUAUUGGUUAAAAUAAAGGAAUGCUCCUUUGGAUUUCCAUUAUAGAAUCAAGAGUGGAACCACUAUUGAAAUUCAGGUUUUCCUGUCUGGACAGAAUUUAUAGCUAAUCUUAGGAGUAGUCUUAUCGGUUCCUCUUAAGGCUAUAUAUCUAAACAGUGAGAUGUAAAUUUAAUGGGAAAGUUUGCAGCAUACGAUGUCUGCUUAAUAAAUGAAGUGUGGUGUCUGCAGGCUUGUGUUUGUGGUUAUUCACAGGCUUGAGUUUCACACAGCUUUAGAUACUUUCUGCAAUGAGGAUGUUUACAGUCUCUUUUGAAGAAUUUGCUUUUACAAGUCUUGUCCAAAUUCAUGAUACUCUUAAAGUAUUGCAGAUACCCUUUUUUUUGAAAAUGCGCAGAUACACUUCAAUAAAACUGAUGCUAAUGAUUCCUGGCCUUGUAUAAAAAGGCUAAUGAAAGCACUUGAAACCGUAGUAUGUACAUGUGUAGCAUUUCUAGUUCCAUAAGCUCUUUCAGGUAAUAUAGCCAGCCUCGCCAUCAGACAUGGUAACUGCUGAAAACCCUCUAGCCCCAGCCAAAAAAGACCUUGCAACAACAGUUUAUCGGUUCAACAGGCAGCUGCAUGGACAUUGAUGCCAGCUCAGGAGAGAAGGUAUAGAUCCUUCUUCUCUUUGGUCUCUUCAGGAAGCUUAGGCAAGUUAUAGCACGUUGCUUUUGGCAGCUCUGAAAGAAAAUUCACAUCCUCAUAUUUCAAGACCAAUACCUGAAAGAAUUGUAUGUAGAUAUGCCACGUAUUACCAGCACAUGAAGGAGAUAGAGCAACAUUUUCAAGAAUAAGGAUGUGGGAUGGAAAAGCAGAAUAUCUUUCUUUCCAAGAAUUUGCAUUAGCAUGUUUCUACAUAUUUGUCUAGAAAUUUCUUGGGUUCUGCCUUGACCACUAUCAAAGAUGUUUUAUUUUUAAAAGUCACACUGCUGGGGCUUCAGAGAUGUUGCUGCAGUUUAGUAAAUGCAGAGGAAAGUAUCAAAGCUUUAACUAUUAAAAUAUAAAAGGGAAAAAUAAUGUAAAUUGUCAAGAACGGAUUGUGCUUUGUUCUGAAGGAACUGAAGUACUUCAGAGUAACAGUAUUUUAAACUAAGCAUUUUCCAGCAUAUGAGAGUUUUCACAGUACUGCUACCCAUAAAGGAAACUUUAAAUAUGAUGAAAAUACGUAAAACUACACUAGUAAGUGUCCUUUUUAAGACUGGUUUAUAUAAUCUCAUUGCCAUACAGACUAAAGCACUCUAGAUCACCAUAAUCUUAAAGCUUAAAAACAUCUCAAGCUAGGAAGAAGGCAUGGCAGCACAGAAGUCCCAAGGAACAGAGCCUGUAAUCAUUCAUGGAGGAUGUGACCCAGAGGUGUUCCCAGGAAAAACAAAGCACUCGGAUGACUUUGGCCACACUAUUAAGUAAAGCAUAUAUGCUUCUGCAGAAGAAACUCAUAUAUAACACCAUUCUGUCUGCAGAUGAGGAAUCUGGACGGGUAUUCACUGAUGUGUGCUAGUCACUGACAUCUGCUGCAAAACUGUCCCAUAACUUGCACGCUGUUGUCAUUGUUGUGCUGGGAAUUCAGUAGCUUUUCCCAAAGCAGGGAAUGAUGAUGGAGCUCGCCAGCUUCAUUUCACUGAGCAGUCCCAGGAGACCAGUACUGGUAGAAUGGAGAAAUUUGCAGAAUAUAUGACAAGAAAAUUGUAAGUGCUCAUAAUAUGCAUUUAUCCACUUUAUAGAUUUUGGAACUAUUUCAAGUUCAGUACCCGUGCUUGGUAAAAUUUGCAACAGGGUAAUUGUCAUAACACUUGCAUUUAACUGUAAGAGCAGUAUUGGGGCCAUUACAUCAGUGUUACACUUAGUCAUGGAGAAAGAACAGGAUAGUUGCUGUAAACAGUCUCAGGAAACAGGGAUCAAUGGCAGAAUCGAUUUAAACUGACCCUGAUAGUGGAGUGGUCUCAUCACAGGACUCUGCAGCCAGGGCCCAUUAAAAUAAUAAUUUAUUUUCCUUGCUGUUUUUGAGACACUGAAACUUUUUCAGCCUUGGAACAGAAUGAACUGCGAGGAGUGCAGUUGUUUUGAGUAAAUAUUCCCAGAAUUUCAACACACCGUGGAUGGCAAUGACGUCUCUUUUGAUGUUUGUUGUCCUAAUUCCAAUGCACAACGCUGAGUGUAAAACACCGAACUGCAGGUUACUCUGCAACAGAUUUAUGCAAAGAAAACAAAAAUCUUACUAUCUCUGUUAUCUGCCCCUUUUAUUUUGAUUUUGAUCUUGUGUUUCUAGAGGUCCCCACUAUGCCAGUUUCUGAGGAGGCUGCUCUUCCAAGGACAACUUUCUCAGGAGACCUCUCAACAUUUUUUUCUUGCUUGGCUGAGUCACUGGGGAUGUAAGAAACAAAGGCCGGCACGUUUUUUGCCUGUAGCACUGAGCAGCGCUGUGGCUUCUCUGGUUACCAUAUGUCUCAACAUGCAAAUGCAUGGUGCCAGCUCAUGCAACAACAUGCGCUACACUACUGGCUGGAUAAAAGAGUCGUACAGUAUUCAGCUGCAUCACUUUCUUGCCUGCAGGUCUACACUUUUUCCUCUCACUCUUCCUCAGUUUUAUGCAUGUAGAGUUAAGGUUUGUGGGGCAUGAGCUGAAUGCAAAAGUCUGAUUCACCCAGUUUAACUGAGGGACUUAGAUUAGGAGCUUAUUUGCCCUAAGCUACCUUAAUAGUCUGUGAGAAAGAUGUUUCUUUUCUUGGGGGGGGGGUGGGGGUGGUGCGGGGAGAGGGACACAAGUUAGAGGUACUCUGGAAAGAUUUUCCUUUCUUUUGCAAACAGGAGUUAACAAGGAAUGCAUUGCUAAUUAAGGCACCUGGCCAGAUGACUGGAGUUAGAUGAGAUUAAACUUAUCAGAGUGCAAUUGCUAAAAAGGACAGCUCUAAUACCAGACAGUCAAAGCAACAACCUUAUUUUCCUAACAGCCCCUCAGAUUUGGCCUGUUUAACCUUUCCCCAAGGGUUCUAACAACAGUGUUUAGGUUUUUGUCUUAGAGUUUUUCUAGUUUGUCUCUGAAUACUUUUGUCUGUGAUGAUUCCACUACUAACCUUGUUAUGAUACCAGAUUAAUUUAAUAAAUAUCCACCUAGAGGUGAGC